AGUGAACGCUGGCGGUAGGCCUAACACAUGCAAGUCGAACGGCAGCACAGUAAGAGCUUGCUCUUACGGGUGGCGAGUGGCGGACGGGUGAGGAAUACAUCGGAAUCUACUUUUUCGUGGGGGAUAACGUAGGGAAACUUACGCUAAUACCGCAUACGACCUACGGGUGAAAGCAGGGGAUCUUCGGACCUUGCGCGAUUGAAUGAGCCGAUGUCGGAUUAGCUAGUUGGCGGGGUAAAGGCCCACCAAGGCGACGAUCCGUAGCUGGUCUGAGAGGAUGAACAGCCACACUGGAACUGAGACACGGUCCAGACACCUACGGGAAGCAGCAGUGGGGAAUACUGGACGAUGGGCGAAAGCCUGAUCCAGCCAUACCGCGUGGGUGAAGAAGGCCUUCGGGUUGGAAAGCCCUUUUGUUGGGAAAGAAAAGCAGCAGGUUAAUACCCCGCUGUUCUGACGGUACCCAAAGAAGAAGCACCGGCUAACUUCGUG
Molecule: ribosomal RNA, 492 nt
Filed under: uncultured bacterium
Lineage: Bacteria
Description: partial 16S ribosomal RNA
Rfam family: Bacterial small subunit ribosomal RNA
Source: RNAcentral